AUCGAAGAUGAAAUUUAUUUCUUGUGUAUUGUUCUUAUUAUAACAUAAAGAAAAACUCUUUCACAAAGAGUCUCAUAAUUUUCCGAAUUGUGCUUUUCUCGAAAAUAUAUUAUAUGUAUGGACGGAUUAUUGUUUAACUUACAUUGGCAAAUCAAAUGAAAAUUGAGAUCAGAUCGAUGGGAUUUGAAUAUGAACCCUGCUUUGCACAACGAG
RNAcentral lists this long non-coding RNA (213 nucleotides) under Mytilus galloprovincialis (Mediterranean mussel). The record is from RNAcentral. Lineage: Eukaryota; Metazoa; Mollusca; Bivalvia; Mytilida; Mytilidae.